RNAcentral lists this small RNA (449 nucleotides) under Pan troglodytes (chimpanzee). Its description in RNAcentral is "processed transcript". Lineage: Eukaryota; Metazoa; Chordata; Mammalia; Primates; Hominidae. The record is from RNAcentral.
GGCGCAGUGGUGGACGUCCAGUUUGAUGAGGGACUACCACCAAUUCUAAAUGCCCUGGAAGUGCAAGGCAGGGAGACCAGACUGGUUUUGGAGGUGGCCCAGCAUUUGGCCAUUCCAGGUUGCUGAGGUCUUCACAGGUCAUAUGGGGAAGCUGGUACCCUUGAAGGAGACCAUCAAAGGGUUCCAGCAGAUUUUGGCAGGUGAAUAUGACCAUCUCCCAGAACAGGCCUUCUAUAUGGUGGGACCCAUUGAAGAAGCUGUGGCAAAAGCUGAUAAGCUGGCUGAAGAGCAUUCAUCGUGAGGGGUCUUUGUCCUCUGUACUGUCCCUCUCCUUGCCCCGAACCCAAAAAGCUUCAUUUUUCUGUGUAGGCUGCACAAGAGCCUUGAUUGAAGAUAUAUUCUUUCUGAACAGUAUUUAAGGUUUCCAAUAAAAUGUACACCCCUCAGAA